UACAUGGGGUGCAAACGUUGCUCGGAAUUAUUGGGCGUAAAGCGCACGUAGGCGGUUUGUUAAGUCGGAUGUGAAAUCCCUCGGCUCAACUGAGGAAGUGCAUCCGAAACUGGCAGGCUUGAGUACUAAAGAGGGUCGCGGAAUUCCCGGUGUAGAGGUGAAAUUCGUAGAUAUCGGGGAGGAACACCGGUGGCGAAGGCGACAUCCUGGACCAACACUGACGCUGAGGAGCGAAAGCCAGGGGAGCAAACGGGG
This 255-nucleotide ribosomal RNA is filed under the name uncultured bacterium. Its description in RNAcentral is "partial 16S ribosomal RNA". It matches the Rfam family "Bacterial small subunit ribosomal RNA", at positions 524 to 777 of the family's 1533-position model. The record is from RNAcentral.